Molecule: long non-coding RNA, 395 nt
Organism: Lolium rigidum
Lineage: Eukaryota; Viridiplantae; Streptophyta; Magnoliopsida; Poales; Poaceae
Exons: 3
Source: RefSeq, a predicted model, not a curated record
UCCGACACCAACCGCCUCGUCCCGAUUCGCUCCGAGUCGCCGGAUCCAUGAAAGACCAGAGCUCCUCCGCCAUGGUUUUCAUCCUCGUGCUCCGUGAGUCUGCUUCAGGUUGCUGGGUGCCCAUCUCUGGACACCACCCACGCAUCAGCCCGACUGAUCUCGAGUUCAGAGAUGUUUCAGCUUAUGCGUGAGAUCAUCCAAGUCAACAACAUCAGCUAGCUCUUCUGAUCCAGUGCUGGGCCUUGGCCCAUUUCUCUCCAGGUGUAGAUGUCGCCCACGAGCAGCAGCCUGCUAUCCUACCCCAGCAGCAGACGAGAUCCAGCCCAGGACCAUGCAGGUCCAGCAAAUUCGCCCCCCCUGCCUGUUUUAUUUUUCUGAAAUAUCCAGAAAAUGUU